GUUAGAAGUUCUUCUCAUAGUAAUGACAUUCGGCGCCACAAGAUGGCGGUGUAAGUGCGGGAAAGGGAAGACAUUUGAACGCGUCCAUAAGAGUUUUUUCUGCUUUUUACCCCUUAGUGAUCCAUUUACUGCGGCAAUGGAGUUUUAUUUUCAACUCAAGGCCCAGUGUUCUACAACAUCUUAACACACAGCUUUCUAAACCCACCAUAAUUUACACCUGUGGAAAGAGAGGACAUGAAGAGAACGCUAACUGCAUAGGCCUACUUGGCUAAUAAAGAGUGUGUUUGCAUGUGUCCCGCUGUUGGUGUUGGUGCUGCUCACGGGCCUCGCAGCUGUAUCGUGGUGCUGUUCCAGCAAGAGCUGAAUGUGUGUGUGUUUACUGGCAGAGAUGUGUCAAGGCCUGCUUGUGUGUCCAUGUGCUCGGGCGGCUGGGGGCAGGUUUCUCCCACAGUCGUGAGUGCUGGGCUGUGUGGCUGCAUGUUUAUAUUGGAGCCUGGACUUCCUAGUGGCAGCCUGCACCUAUCUAAACAUCCCUCUGGCCGCUGCUCUGUGUUCCCGGCCUCGCACAGCCUCCCUCUCUCCUUGCCAUGCUUUGCUCCGCUCCGGGCUGGAAUGCAUCGGGGAAGAUGACUGAGAAGAAAGAGACGGAAAAAGAGGCAGUUUUUUUCACAUGCAGACAUUCCGCUCUUUUCCAUUACAUGUUGCAUCCCUCUAUUUCUGAAUGGAGGGUUCCUGAGAUUCUCCGAACUCUGACUUCAGCAGACUGUUGUUCCACAUAUACUCACAUGUUCAGCUUGUUAUUUAAAUGGGGAUGUAGUGUACAGUCCCACAAAAGAAAGAUGCAGUAACUACACAUAAAUCAAAAUCUGGUUUGUGACAGACAAGUUUAGGUCAGCUACACUCAGAUUCAGAGAAAACAAGUGUGAAAAAUGAUUUCAGAUCAAUUAAGGUUAAUCAGAAGAACAUUACUAGUUGUAGUGUUGGUGGUUUGAUGUUAGCAAAAUCUGUAUUAUUUAUUUAUUUAGACCACCGA
This 1033-nucleotide long non-coding RNA is filed under the name Sinocyclocheilus grahami. RNAcentral describes it as "lncRNA (ENSSGRG00000052644.1)". Lineage: Eukaryota; Metazoa; Chordata; Actinopteri; Cypriniformes; Cyprinidae. The record is from RNAcentral.